Molecule: long non-coding RNA, 680 nt
Filed under: Homo sapiens (human)
Lineage: Eukaryota; Metazoa; Chordata; Mammalia; Primates; Hominidae
Description: non-protein coding lnc-ASB13-3:6
Source: RNAcentral
AGAAAACAAAAGAGAGCAAGAGAGAAGACAGUGGGUGAAGUCCUGGUUCCAGACUCCCCUUUUUGCCGGGAUAUGAUGGAUCUGUCAGCUGGUGCCUAGAGUCCUAGAGAGCUAGAGAUGGAGGGAAAUUCAGAUCAUCUAAACCCUUCAGCCCUUCACUGGACAGAAGAGGAAACUGAGGCUCCAUCUGCAUGACGUUCCCAGAGUCACGGCACAAAUUCAUGGAAGAAGCAGCAGGAAACUCAGUUCUCCAGUCUGGGUCCAAUGUGUGUUUUAGAAAUAUCUCCACAGGGUUAAUGACUCAAUUUUUCAUGCAUGAUUGCUAGUAAUGACAAUCAUGUUAUGUUUGUUUCUGUAGCUUUGGAAAUCACUCCUUCCACUUGAGUUUCAGGUCCCAACUGUCCACACCUGCAGGAGUGAGGUUUUGCUGAGACUGAUAAGGCACUCACAUUUUGUGGGAGUUGAAUUGUCUCUGUAGCCUAGAAUCUAGAUUUUUUUCCCUCCUCUGCUCUCAGUGAACGGAGAAUUCCAUCUCGGUACAAUCUGUGAACCAUUCUGCAGUAAGAUUGUCAUCGUCUCAUUCAUACUACCUGGUCGGUAACACAAAGGGCUGUAAUUGAUGUGGUUCAGAGACUCACAUCCAAGCAAUAAAAAUGAAUCCCUUAUGGUGGUCUGCAGCA